UUCCGGUUGAUCCUGCCGGACCCCACUGCCAUCGGGAUAGGACUAAGACAUGCUAGUCGUGUGCCUCAGCCAAAACGAGGCACGGCGCACAGCUCAGUAACACGAGGCUAACCUGCCCUUAGGACGAGAAUAACCCCGGGAAACUGGGGCUAAUGCUCGAUAGGUGAAGAACUCUGGAAUGAGUCUUCACUUAAAAGAGUCUGCGUUAUGCUCGUAGAUUUCGCCCAAGGAUGGGGCCGCGACCGAUCAGGUUGUUGGCGAGGUAAUGGCUCACCAAGCCUUUUACCGGUGCGGGCCGUGAGAGCGGGAGCCCGGAGAUGGGCACUGAGACAAGGGCCCAGGCCCUACGGGGCGCAGCAGUCGCGAAAACUUUGCAAUACACGAAAGUGUGACAGGGCUAUCCCGAGUGCCAUCCGCUGAGGAAGGCUUUUACCCAGUCUAGAAAGCUGGGGGAAUAAGGAGAGGGCAAGUCUGGUGUCAGCCGCCGCGGUAAUACCAGCUCUCCGGGUGGUGUGGAUGUUUAUUGGGCCUAAAGCAUCCGUAGCUGGCUAAGUUAGUCCCCUGUUAAAUCCAACGAAUUAAUCGUUGGAUCGCGGGGGAUACUGCUUGGCUAGGGGACGAGAGAGGCAGACGGUAUUUCCGGGGUAGGGGUGAAAUCCUAUAAUCCCGGGAAGACCACCAGUGGCGAAGGCUGUCUGCUAGAACGCGCCCGACGGUGAGGGGUGAAAGCUGGGGGAGCGAACCGGAUUAGAUACCCGGGUAGUCCCAGCUGUAAACGAUGCAGGCUAGGUGUUUGGACGGCCACGUGCCGUUCUAGUGCCGCAGGGAAGCUGUUAAGCCUGCCGCCUGGGGAGUAUGAUCGCAAGAUCGAAACUUAAAGGAAUUGGCGGGGGAGCACCACAAGGGGUGAAGCUUGCGGUUUAAUUGGAUUCAACGCCGG
RNAcentral lists this ribosomal RNA (940 nucleotides) under archaeon enrichment culture clone C3-37C-A. RNAcentral describes it as "bacterial SSU rRNA". It matches the Rfam family "Archaeal small subunit ribosomal RNA", at positions 1 to 921 of the family's 1478-position model. The record is from RNAcentral.